RNAcentral lists this ribosomal RNA (252 nucleotides) under uncultured bacterium. Its description in RNAcentral is "partial 16S ribosomal RNA". It matches the Rfam family "Bacterial small subunit ribosomal RNA", at positions 524 to 775 of the family's 1533-position model. The record is from RNAcentral.
UACGAAGGGUGCAAGCGUUACUCGGAAUUACUGGGCGUAAAGGGUGCGUAGGUGGUUGUUUAAGUCUGUUGUGAAAGCCCCGGGCUCAACCUGGGAAUGGCAAUGGAUACUGGACAGCUAGAGUGCGGUAGAGGGUAGUGGAAUUCCCGGUGUAGCAGUGAAAUGCGUAGAGAUCGGGAGGAACACCAGUGGCGAAGGCGGCUACCUGGACCAGCACUGACACUGAAGCACGAAAGCGUGGGGAGCAAACAG